RNAcentral lists this unclassified non-coding RNA (996 nucleotides) under Hevea brasiliensis (rubber tree). The record is from RNAcentral. Lineage: Eukaryota; Viridiplantae; Streptophyta; Magnoliopsida; Malpighiales; Euphorbiaceae.
AUCGGUACCUUCCCAAUGAUAUGAACUGGCGAGAUCUAUUUGAGAUGGUUAUAGUCUCAGCUAGGAAGCCAGAAUUCUUCCAAAUGGCCCACCCAAUGUAUGAAGUGGUGACUGGUGAAGGUCUGAUGCGUCCUUGUUUUAAAGCUCGCCCAGGUGGAUUAUACUCUGGAGGAAGCGCUCAGAUGAUUGAGAGUUCGCUCAAUGUUCAUGGAGAUGAAAUCUUAUAUGUUGGUGAUCAUAUAUACACUGAUGUAAGCCAAUUCAAAGUUCAUCUACGAUGGAGAACUGCUUUGAUUUGUCGAGAACUAGAAGAGGAGUAUAAUGCGUUAAUUCAUAGUCAAGAAGAGAGAGCUAGUUUGAUAGAUCUUAUCAAUAAAAAAGAGGUUUUAGGUGAUCUCUUUAACCAACUUCGGCUUGCUCUUCAGAGGAGGACCGAGGGACGUCCUGCACAGACCCUUGCUGCCACACAUAUGGAAGAUAAUGAACUCACAGAAAGCAUGCAAAAGCUACUUGUUGUUAUGCAGAGGCUAGAUCAGAAAAUUGGUCCAAUGUUGGAUGAGGAUGGAGAGCUUUUCAACAAAAGGUGGGGUUAUCUUUCACGUGCAGGUCUGUGGGAUAAAAGUCACUUGAUGCGUCAAAUAGAAAAAUACGCUGAUAUCUAUACGUCCAGAGUUUCAAACUUUCUCCACUAUACACCUUUCAUGUAUUUCCGUGCCCAAGAACAGAAUCUUGCUCAUGAUUCAUACACAUUUGACCAUCUACGACGUGAGGAGAAUUAGCUGAAUAACAGGAGCGGCAGAUUUUCGUUACAACUCUAUAGCCAAUCCUUGUUGUAUUAUAUGUAGUAGUUGUAUUUGAUAUCUUCUCUAGUCCCUCCUCUACUGUUGUACUUAACCCCACAGCCCUGCUACAACUUUUUGUUGCAGGACUCUAGUAUAAGCUAUCGAAUGUCAUAGCUAUGUUAUUGUACAAGUAAACAGUUGAGGAAGGUCAUAA